CCCCUUUUAGCUCAGUGGUUAGAGCAGGCGACUCAUAAUCGCUUGGUCGCUGGUUCAAGUCCGGCAAGGGGGACCA
Molecule: transfer RNA, 76 nt
Filed under: Pasteurellaceae bacterium LFhippo2
Lineage: Bacteria; Pseudomonadati; Pseudomonadota; Gammaproteobacteria; Pasteurellales; Pasteurellaceae
Also listed under: 1 other name
Description: tRNA-Met
Rfam family: tRNA
About the family: Transfer RNA (tRNA) molecules are approximately 80 nucleotides in length. Their secondary structure includes four short double-helical elements and three loops (D, anti-codon, and T loops).
Source: RNAcentral